GGGUUCUUAGCUCAGCUGGUUCAGAGCACCUGCCUUACAAGCAGGGGGUCGGGGGUUCGAAUCCCUCAGGACCCA
This 75-nucleotide transfer RNA is filed under the name Rhabdobacter roseus. It matches the Rfam family "tRNA". From Rfam's summary of the family: Transfer RNA (tRNA) molecules are approximately 80 nucleotides in length. Their secondary structure includes four short double-helical elements and three loops (D, anti-codon, and T loops). The record is from Rfam by way of RNAcentral. Lineage: Bacteria; Pseudomonadati; Bacteroidota; Cytophagia; Cytophagales; Cytophagaceae.